RNAcentral lists this ribosomal RNA (421 nucleotides) under uncultured bacterium. RNAcentral's name for it is "bacterial SSU rRNA". It matches the Rfam family "Bacterial small subunit ribosomal RNA", at positions 355 to 776 of the family's 1533-position model. The record is from RNAcentral. RNAcentral also lists the same sequence under 1 other name.
UGGGGAAUUUUGCACAAUGGGCGCAAGCCUGAUGCAGCGACGCCGCGUGAGGGAUGGAGGCCUUCGGGUUGUGAACCUCUUUCGCUCAUGGUCAAGCCGCGGAUGUGUCCGUGGUGAGGGUAGUGGGUAAAGAAGCGCCGGCUAACUACGUGCCAGCAGCCGCGGUAAUACGUAGGGCGCGAGCGUUGUCCGGAAUUAUUGGGCGUAAAGGGCUUGUAGGCGGUUUGUCGCGUCUGCCGUGAAAUUCCCUGGCUUAACUGGGGGCGUGCGGUGGGUACGGGCAGGCUUGAGUGCGGUAGGGGAGACUGGAAUUCCUGGUGUAGCGGUGGAAUGCGCAGAUAUCAGGAGGAACACCGGUGGCGAAGGCGGGUCUCUGGGCCGUUACUGACGCUGAGGAGCGAAAGCAUGGGGAGCGAACAGG